UACGUAGGGGGCAAGCGUUGUCCGGAAUCAUUGGGCGUAAAGGGUGCGUAGGCGGCCUGCUGCGUCGGUGCUGAAAGCGCCCGGCUUAACCGGGCGAGGCGUGCCGAUACGAGCGGGCUGGAGCCUUGGCGAGGGUGGCGGAACGUCCUGGUGUAGUGGUGAAAUGCGCAGAUAUCAGGAGGAACACCGGUGGCGAAGGCGGGUCUCUGGGCCGAUACUGACGCUGAGGAGCGAAAGCGUGGGGAGCGAACAGG
This 254-nucleotide ribosomal RNA is filed under the name uncultured bacterium. RNAcentral describes it as "partial 16S ribosomal RNA". It matches the Rfam family "Bacterial small subunit ribosomal RNA", at positions 524 to 776 of the family's 1533-position model. The record is from RNAcentral.